GAACCUACGGGGGGCAGCAGUCGGGAAUAUUGCACAAUGGAGGAAACUCUGAUGCAGUGACACCGCGUAUAGGAAGAAGGUUUUCGGAUUGUAAACUAUUUUAGACAGGGAAGAAAAAAGACAGUACCUGUAGAAUAAGCUCCGGCUAACUACGUGCCAGCAGCCGCGGUAAUACGUAGGGAGCAAGCGUUAUCCGGAAUUAUUGGGUGUAAAGGGUGCGUAGGCGGCGAUGCAAGUCAGAAGUGAAAGCCCGGGGCUCAACUCCAGGACUGCUUUUGAAACUGUAUGGCUAGAUUGCAGGAGAG
Molecule: ribosomal RNA, 305 nt
Filed under: uncultured bacterium
Lineage: Bacteria
Description: bacterial SSU rRNA
Rfam family: Bacterial small subunit ribosomal RNA
Source: RNAcentral